This 253-nucleotide ribosomal RNA is filed under the name uncultured bacterium. Its description in RNAcentral is "partial 16S ribosomal RNA". It matches the Rfam family "Bacterial small subunit ribosomal RNA", at positions 524 to 776 of the family's 1533-position model. The record is from RNAcentral.
UACGUAGGGGGCAAGCGUUGUCCGGAUUUAUUGGGCGUAAAGCGCGUGUAGGCGGCCAGGUAGGUCCGCUGUGAAAGUCCGAGGCUCAACCUCGGAAUGUCGGCGGAAACCCUCUGGCUAGAGUCCGGAAGAGGAGAGUGGAAUUCCCGGUGUAGCGGUGAAAUGCGCAGAUAUCGGGAAGAACACCCGUGGCGAAGGCGGUUCUCUGGGACGGUACUGACGCUGAGACGCGAAAGCGUGGGGAGCGAACAGG